AUUGAACGCUGGCGGCAGGCCUAACACAUGCAAGUCGAGCGGAUGAAGGGAGCUUGCUCCUGGAUUCAGCGGCGGACGGGUGAGUAAUGCCUAGGAAUCUGCCUUGUAGUGGGGGAUAACGUCCGGAAACGGGCGCUAAUACCGCAUACGUCCUGAGGGAGAAAGUGGGGGAUCUUCGGACCUCACGCUAUCAGAUGAGCCUAGGUCGGAUUAACUAGUUGGUGGGGUAAAGGCCUACCAAGGCGACGAUCCGUAACUGGUCUGAGAGGAUGAUCAGUCACACUGGAACUGAGACACGGUCCAGACUCCUACGGGAGGCAGCAGUGGGGAAUAUUGGACAAUGGGCGAAAGCCUGAUCCAGCCAUGCCGCGUGUGUGAAGAAGGUCUUCGGAUUGUAAAGCACUUUAAGUUGGGAGGAAGGGAAGUAAGUUAAUACCUUGCUGUUUUGACGUUACCAACAGAAUAAGCACCGGCUAACUUCGUG
RNAcentral lists this ribosomal RNA (484 nucleotides) under uncultured bacterium. RNAcentral describes it as "partial 16S ribosomal RNA". It matches the Rfam family "Bacterial small subunit ribosomal RNA", at positions 30 to 507 of the family's 1533-position model. The record is from RNAcentral.